This 462-nucleotide ribosomal RNA is filed under the name uncultured bacterium. Its description in RNAcentral is "partial 16S ribosomal RNA". It matches the Rfam family "Bacterial small subunit ribosomal RNA", at positions 339 to 795 of the family's 1533-position model. The record is from RNAcentral.
CUACGGGGGGCACCAGUGGGGAAUAUUGCACAAUGGGCGCAAGCCUGAUGCAGCCAUGCCGCGUGUAUGAAGAAGGCCUUCGGGUUGUAAAGUACUUUCAGCGGGGAGGAAGGGAGUAAAGUUAAUACCUUUGCUCAUUGACGUUACCCGCAGAAGAAGCACCGGCUAACUCCGUGCCAGCAGCCGCGGUAAUACGGAGGGUGCAAGCGUUAAUCGGAAUUACUGGGCGUAAAGCGCACGCAGGCGGUUUGUUAAGUCAGAUGUGAAAUCCCCGGGCUCAACCUGGGAACUGCAUCUGAUACUGGCGAGGUUGAGUCUCGUAGAGGGGGGUAGAAUUCCAGGUGUAGCGGUGAAAUGCGUAGAGAUCUGGAGGAAUACCGGUGGCGAAGGCGGCCCCCUGGACGAAGACUGACGCUCAGGUGCGAAAGCGUGGGGAGCAAACAGGAUUGAUACCCUCGAGUC